Molecule: ribosomal RNA, 427 nt
Filed under: uncultured bacterium
Lineage: Bacteria
Description: partial 16S ribosomal RNA
Rfam family: Bacterial small subunit ribosomal RNA
Source: RNAcentral
GUGGGGAAUCUUAGACAAUGGGCGCAAGCCUGAUCUAGCCAUGCCGCGUGAGGGAAGAAGGCCUUAGGGUCGUAAACCUCUGUUGUGUGGGAAGAAGAGCGUGACGGUACCACACGAGGAAGUCCCGGCUAACUACGUGCCAGCAGCCGCGGUAAUACGUAGGGGACGAGCGGUGUCCGGAUUUACUGGGCGUAAAGGGCGCGUAGGCGGUCAUUUAAGUCAGCUGUGAAAUGGUUUGGCUUAACCGGAUCAUGCGGUUGAAACUGGAUGACUGGAGUGCUGGAGAGGCAAGUGGAAUUCCCAGUGUAGCGGUGAAAUGCGUAGAUAUUGGGAAGAACACCGGUGGCGAAGGCGACUUGCUGGCCAGCAACUGACGCUGAGGCGCGAAAGCCAGGGGAGCAAACGGGAUUAGAAACCCCAGUAGUCC